Molecule: ribosomal RNA, 254 nt
Filed under: uncultured bacterium
Lineage: Bacteria
Description: partial 16S ribosomal RNA
Rfam family: Bacterial small subunit ribosomal RNA
Source: RNAcentral
UACGUAGGGGCCAAGCGUUGUCCGGAUUUAUUGGGCGUAAAGAGCUCGUAGGUGGUUCGGCAAGUCAGUUGUGAAAUCUCCGCGCUCAACGCGGAGGGGUCAGCUGAAACUGCUGUGACUUGAGUCUGGUAGGGGAGUGUGGAAUUCCCGGUGUAGCGGUGAAAUGCGCAGAUAUCGGGAGGAACACCAGUGGCGAAGGCGGCACUCUGGGCCAGUACUGACACUGAGGAGCAAAAGCGUGGGGAGCGAACAGG